This 339-nucleotide unclassified non-coding RNA is filed under the name rhizosphere metagenome. RNAcentral describes it as "partial ribosomal RNA internal transcribed spacer region". The record is from RNAcentral.
GUAGGUGAACCUGCGGAAGGAUCAUUAACACGUAUCCAACGUAUCCAACCCGUGGUCCUGUGCGCGGCUACACGUGAAGUGAUAGAAACUACUUUGCAGUCUGCGUGACGGCAAAAGAAGGUUUCGGGGAAAGGGCUUGGUGCAACCUACGUGGUUGUCAUAUGUCUUUUCACCGAAAUCAGGUAAUAUCAAUCCUCUGUGAGAGGGUAGCUUCCGUGGCAGACGUUUUAACCAACAAUUUAACCCAAUAGUCUAACUUUAGAAAUAAGUAUGAUGCGCUCUGCUUUAUUUCGACCAUACGAAAUGUUACAACUCUUAACAACGGAUAUCUUGGUUCUC